This 254-nucleotide ribosomal RNA is filed under the name uncultured bacterium. RNAcentral's name for it is "partial 16S ribosomal RNA". It matches the Rfam family "Bacterial small subunit ribosomal RNA", at positions 524 to 776 of the family's 1533-position model. The record is from RNAcentral.
CACGUAGGGGGCGAGCGUUGUCCGGAUUUAUUGGGCGUAAAGGGCUCGUAGGCGGCUCAGUAAGUCGGGUGUGAAACCUCCAGGCUCAACCUGGAGACGCCACUCGAUACUGCUGUGGCUAGAGUCCGGUAGGGGAGCAUGGAAUUCCUGGUGUAGCGGUGAGAUGCGCAGAUAUCAGGAGGAACCCCGGUGGCGAAGGCGGGUCUCUGGGCCGUAACUGACGCUGAGGAGCGAAAGCAUGGGGAGCGAACAGG